GAUGAACGCUGGCGGCGUGCUUAACACAUGCAAGUCGAACGAUGAAGCCCAGCUUGCUGGGUGGAUUAGUGGAGAACGGGUGAGUAACACGUGAGUAACCUGCCCUUAACUCUGGGAUAAGCCUGGGAAACUGGGUCUAAUACCGGAAAGGAGCGCCUACCGCAUGGUGGGUGUUGGAAAGAUUUAUCGGUUUUGGAUGGACUCGCGGCCUAUCAGCUUGUUGGCGAGGUAAUGGCUCACCAAGGCGACGACGGGUAGCCGGCCUGAGAGGGUGACCGGCCACACUGGGACUGAGACACGGCCCAGACUCCUACGGGAGGCAGCGGUGGGGAAUAUUGCACAAUGGGCGAAAGCCUGAUGCAGCGACGCCGCGUGAGGGAUGACGGCCUUCGGGUUGUAAACCUCUUUCAGUAGGGAAGAAGCGAAAGUGACGGUACCUGCAGAAGAAGCACCGGCUAACUACGUG
This 466-nucleotide ribosomal RNA is filed under the name uncultured bacterium. RNAcentral describes it as "partial 16S ribosomal RNA". It matches the Rfam family "Bacterial small subunit ribosomal RNA", at positions 28 to 507 of the family's 1533-position model. The record is from RNAcentral.